Molecule: non-coding RNA, 24 nt
Filed under: Cricetulus griseus (Chinese hamster)
Lineage: Eukaryota; Metazoa; Chordata; Mammalia; Rodentia; Cricetidae
Source: RNAcentral
ACUAGCAUAUUAACUCCACUGUUU